AGAAAAGUAAGUUAAUUAAGACUAAUUGGUUCAUGUCCACUCUGUACAUAUUUUAUGUCUUUUCUA
RNAcentral lists this transfer RNA (66 nucleotides) under Neobenedenia melleni. RNAcentral's name for it is "tRNA-Met". The record is from RNAcentral. Lineage: Eukaryota; Metazoa; Platyhelminthes; Monogenea; Capsalidea; Capsalidae.